Molecule: unclassified non-coding RNA, 44 nt
Filed under: Escherichia coli
Lineage: Bacteria; Pseudomonadati; Pseudomonadota; Gammaproteobacteria; Enterobacterales; Enterobacteriaceae
Description: crRNA (44-MER) from Escherichia coli (PDB 7TRA, chain R)
Source: RNAcentral
AUUGAAAGAGUGCUUCCCCAAACCCUUAACUGGUUGUAACAGUU